UCCCGGUUAGCUCAAUCGGUAGAGCGUGAGACUCUUAAUCUCAAGGUUGCGGGUUCGAUCCCCGCAUUGGGCU
Syncephalis plumigaleata is the source of this 73-nucleotide non-coding RNA. NCBI's taxonomy places the organism in Eukaryota, Fungi, Zoopagomycota, Zoopagomycetes, Zoopagales, Piptocephalidaceae. The record is from the annotation of a GenBank genome assembly.